Long non-coding RNA from Malus domestica (apple), 535 nucleotides. RefSeq lists it as uncharacterized. NCBI's taxonomy places the organism in Eukaryota, Viridiplantae, Streptophyta, Magnoliopsida, Rosales, Rosaceae. The record is from RefSeq and is a predicted model, not a curated record.
AUAGAUUAGGUUGCAAGAUAAAUUUCUAAAGUUCUACUAGCUUAGGUACAAAUUAUUUUUCAGAAAUCAAACAUGCAAAAUUUCUAUGCAUGUUUUGAAAUUGGUUGUAGGAAGUGGGCUUCCAAGUCUUAACAAUAAUGGAGACUAUGAAAUCAGGGUAACCAAUUAGGGGUAACUAUAUAUUUCAAAAACGCAAAUUUUACACACACACACACAUUCUGUAAAGAAUCAGUUUUGAUUGGCACAGAUGAAGAUGAACAAUAAGAGGGUUUUCUAUUCAAAUUUACUUUUUGUAAUUUUAGGGGUUUUGAUCUUACAUGUGUAUUUAAUUUGGUUUUGUUUUCAGUUUCAGGAGACUCUGGUUUUUCGUUUUUUGGGCCUUUUCUUUGCAGCCUAGAAAGCCCUCUGUGCUCAAGAUCACCAGCAAUAAUCUCAUCAAGGUCCCAGGAGGAAUCACGAGGAUUCACUGCCGAAUUGACCAGAUGAAAAAAGAGGGAAACAUGGAUUAUAUAUGCACGAAGGGCACCACAACAAA